GGUCCGCAUUGUAAUUUGUAGAGGAUGCUUUGGGGCAGCCGCCUGUCUAAGUUCCUUGGAACAGGACGUCAUAGAGGGUGAGAAUCCCGUAUGUGACAGGACAUGGCACCCUAUGUAAAGCUCCUUCGACGAGUCGAGUUGUUUGGGAAUGCAGCUCUAAAUGGGAGGUAAAUUUCUUCUAAAGCUAAAUACCGGCGAGAGACCGAUAGCGCACAAGUAGAGUGAUCGAAAGAUGAAAAGCACUUUGGAAAGAGAGUUAAAAAGCACGUGAAAUUGUUGAAAGGGAAGCGCUUGCAAUCAGACUUGUUCUGACUGUUCGGCCGGUCUUCUGACCGGUUUAUUCAGUCUGGGCAGGCCAGCAUCAGUUUCGGCGGUCGGAUAAAGGCCCUGGGAAUGUGGCUCUGCCUUCGGGGAGAGUGUUAUAGCCCAGGGUGUAAUACGGCCAGCCGGGACUGAGGUCCGCGCUUCGGCUAGGAUGCUGGCGUAAUGGUUGUAAGCGAC
This 501-nucleotide ribosomal RNA is filed under the name Pseudosydowia eucalyptorum. Its description in RNAcentral is "partial 28S ribosomal RNA". It matches the Rfam family "Eukaryotic large subunit ribosomal RNA", at positions 135 to 648 of the family's 3401-position model. The record is from RNAcentral. Lineage: Eukaryota; Fungi; Ascomycota; Dothideomycetes; Dothideales; Saccotheciaceae.